AUUGAACGCUGGCGGCAGGCCUAACACAUGCAAGUCGAGCGGAUGAAGGGAGCUUGCUCCUGGAUUCAGCGGCGGACGGGUGAGUAAUGCCUAGGAAUCUGCCUGGUAGUGGGGGAUAACGUCCGGAAACGGGCGCUGAUACCGCAUACGUCCUGAGGGAGAAAGUGGGGGAUCUUCGGACCUCACGCUAUCAGAUGAGCCUAGGUCGGAUUAGCUAGUUGGUGGGGUAAAGGCCUACCAAGGCGACGAUCCGUAACUGGUCUGAGAGGAUGAUCAGUCACACGGGAAAUGAGACACGGUCCAGACUCCUCCGGGAGGAAGCAGGGGGGAAUAUUGGACAAGGGGCGAAAGCCUGAUCCAGCCAGGCCGCGUGUGUGAAGAAGGUUUUCGGAUUGUAAAGCACUUUAAGUUGGGAGGAAGGGCAGUAAGUUAAUACCUUGCUGUUGUGACGUUACCAACAGAAUAAGCACCGGCUAACUUCG
Molecule: ribosomal RNA, 482 nt
Filed under: uncultured bacterium
Lineage: Bacteria
Description: partial 16S ribosomal RNA
Rfam family: Bacterial small subunit ribosomal RNA
Source: RNAcentral